ACCUCUACAGGACCAGAGGCCCAGGCAAAACUCUCCAGGAGCAGAGGGGCAGUUCACAGCUCAUCAGGGCAUGCAUGGGACAAACUCAGCCCUGCCUCACAGGAACAAAGGACACUGGCCUAGACAGCAACAAAGGAUCUGUUGGACUCUCGAAUGAGUCACCCACCUUCCCUUGGUCAGUUUGGGACUAUGAUGAGGUAAUGCUCACCUGACUCUGAAGGGGCAGGAGGCAAAGCCAUGAGGAAAGAAAGAACACGAUAAAAGGGGGAGAUGUUUGCCAUGCUCUCUCUUCCACCUCCAUCUACAGACUCCACCACCAAGAGACUGAACACUGAACAAAUGGGAGAGCCUGGCUGAAGGGCAACCAGACAG
This is a long non-coding RNA of Dermochelys coriacea (leatherback sea turtle), 372 nucleotides long. RefSeq lists it as uncharacterized. The transcript has 3 exons. NCBI's taxonomy places the organism in Eukaryota, Metazoa, Chordata, Testudines, Dermochelyidae. The record is from RefSeq and is a predicted model, not a curated record.